ACAGCCCCACUCCGCUUUACCUCAUUCAUUUUCAUAUAAUCCGCCACUUCCAAUCCCUCUUAACUCCACCAGCAUCCCUUUAAAUCAACCCCCCCGUCCCCCCUCCAUCACUCCUUUUUCCCUUCUUCUUUUCUCUGUCUGAUAAUGACACUGGAAAGUUCACCUUUUAAGGACGGAGCUGCCGGUGAAUGCUGCAUGUGGCACUGGACUGGCGCAUGUGCUGCUACACGGGGGGGCUGGGGGGGGUACGGUGCAUGGUGAGCACUGUGGAAGACCCGAGGCCGGGCUGGAUCUUCAGCAUUCGGGGACUAUAAAUCCACCUGAGCUCAAGCUCUCGUCUCUGCCGUUCUCCAAACUUUUAAAUGGGUCAAAAAUGAAUAUUGCAGAAUCACUCAAGUUUAAAAAUGCAGCUGAGGCAGAGCAGUAAGAACGAUCAUGUACGUCGCGCCAGCAACGUUACCACGGGCCUUGUUGCCUUAACGAUGUUUUUUAGCGUUUUUGCAGACAGGACCCCUUAAUUUAUUCAUGUGCUGCCAUCCCACGCUGCUCACAAUAACACAGCCCCCCGACAAAUAUAAAUCUAAUAUUUACUUGCCGUAAGCUGUUUGAUUUUGCAUCCUAAGAGAGGUCAGCUCCUCUGAGAUUUGCUGGAAAACACAGCGGUUUACACAGUAUAUCAUAAAAAAACACAUACCGUUUAUUCAAGGGCGUCUUCCAGCACUGCAGCUGUAGAUUCAGAGGACAGUGUAAUACAAGUGAAGCCCCUUUUUUCCCAUUUUUCUGGGUUUGUAGGAAUUAACUGCGUGGCAUAAACGAAAAAAAACAAAAACCAGCGCCACAUGCCAGGAGACAGAAGUAGUGGCAGUGUCCUUGUUUUGUGGCCCGCCGGGACCCCACAGUCCUCCCUGCGUCCCAGAGCCGCCACUAGGCUCCAAUCAAAUAUUCAUAGUGGUUCUGCCUCCCUGUAUCAGCCUCACGCUGCCUCCCUGGCGUGCUGCAGGCCUCACUCCGCCCUUCCGUGUCCAUGCACACAAGUGCGACCACUUCCUACCUCGCCCUUUACUCCGCAGGAGGUACACGUGUCGUUUUAAAAAUCUGUCCCGGCCCCUUAACAUUCAACACUUGAGGAAAAGGCAAACCUUUUAAGCUUUAAGCGUUAACCCCCAACCUCGCUUUCUGGGGCCUGUCUAUUGCCUGUCUAUCUUCACGUGAACCCGAGCCCGUCCUCGCCUCUCGCCCUCAGUUGUGCAUCUUGUGGGGAUUAGUAGCGGUGGUUUUGUUUUAAUCUCUUCCCUCUCUCUCUCCUUGCUUCAUGUGUAAUUUGUGGCAAGGUAAGGAGCACCCUUUGCUUCUCAGCCUUCGGUUUAAAUCAAGCAGCCUUUUUGAUUUUUCAGGUGGCGCUUAGAGAUUUUUUUCUUCGUCUCCGUUUUUUCUUUUUAGAAACCUGGCAGUUUUUUUUGUUAAACAUAGUAGUUUGCCACUUUGACAAAUCAAAUCUGUUUAGAAGAAGCAGAGUGAAUCCGCUCCUCAUCGCCUCUCUUCUCUCCUGAUCUGCAGGGCCAGAUGCAUGAACUUUCUUUAUGACCCCUUUUCCUCUCCGCAGUAACAAGCAGCCUUCUGGAAGAACGACGGCACAACAAUACGCUAUGCAACAUUCAUGCAUCCUCCUCCCCUGACUGUGCUUACCUAACUUAAAGCAGGAGACACUACAUCGGAAAAGUUAGACGUGAUGGUUGAUCACUGUGACAAAGCCUUGAAGAUGCACCUCGAUAAAUGACGAAUCAUUAUUUAAGGCUCCGCUAGACUUUGAAUUACGUCCCGUGUUCGGAGAAAAAGAUGCAAAAUCUCCGGAAAUAGUGUUUUUAUGUAACUUGGCUGGCUGUUGAUGUGAUCGCUUCUGAUUAGACUUCCAAUUGCACUCAGCCCCCUUUUUAAAAACGAUCCCAGCGAGGCCUCACGUCUCGCUAACGGAGAGCGAGCGGAGGAGCGGCAGGUUAAAGGCACCAGCAUUUCCCCAAAUGAUGCCGCGUAUUCGCUUUGUGACGUUACAUUAUGCAACGUGUGACUGUUCAUCCUCGAUGCAGGAACCGCCCCAGAGUGGAAAACAUCUAAUAUUCUAACCUUCAUUAAUGCUCUAAAACACUGACGUCUGGUUCGCAGACUCUGAAGACUUAAAGUUCAGAUUGAACAAUUCCUAUGUAAACACUCUUCUCCCGAAAGGUUGGAAGCAUCAGUGCUUACCUGCAAAUAUACUUUGGCUAUUGUUCAUGUCUCGACACCACCCACAUCUCUCGCUGCUGCUUCCCUUUGGGUGGAUGUGCAUCUCUCUGAUGCACUUGGACCACCUUUGCUCUCCGUAUUUUCAGCGUAGCGGCGCGGUGAUGCUUGGCGCUCCCGGUGUGCCUGUGGGCAGUUUUCAUUGCUGUGAGGGAUUAUGGGUAUUAUGCUCCUCAGAGGGCCACCGUCUGCAGUAUCACCCUUCCUCUCCCGCCGUUACUCUCCAUUAGAGAGCAGGCGGAGGUCUAAUCCUCCUGCAGGCCCCCGCGGAGUUCUUUGAGGCCCCGGGCUUGGUCGCAGGCACGGCAGCCAUCUUUGUUUUCGACGGGCGGGUUUGCAUCGAUGGAAAACAAAGCAGCGGCGAGGCGUGUACCAGAUGGGUCAGACUUUAGGGACUUGGGAUUUUAGAUGUCUGCAUAACGAGCCUGGUUCCUUUCAGGUGGGGUGGUGGAAGGUACUGACAACCCGCGCUCUUAACUCCCCAACGUGCUCUUUCCGCCUCCGGCUGCUUCACCCGACCCAUUGCUUUGCCAAAAGGCCCUUUUACUGCAGAGGUCAAAGUCAAGUGAACGCAACCUGCCCGACGUAGCGUGAAGACGUAGCAGACGUCGUGAAUGCUUGUUGCGCUGUUUUCCCGCUCGUCUCCGCCUCUGACGGGUGGUUCUCUCCUCUGUGUUUGUCAUUGCAGCAGCUAAGUCCUUGCUCAACAAGAAGGCCGAUGUCAAGCCCCAGACAAACAGCACCAAAAACAGCAUAGUCACCAGCCCCAAAGGAAACGUCCCGUCACCUGCUCUGGAGCCUCAGACAACCGUCAUCCAUAAUCCGGUGGACAGGACGAAGGUACACGUGUAUCAUUCCCCAGGCCCGACCUACUCUUUACCAUUCUCCUCCUCUUCCUCAUCUCCUCCUGCCCUUCACAUCCUUCUUUUCAUCAUCUGUUCAAAUGUGUGACGUGUGUGUGUGUGUGUGUGUGUGUGUGUGUGUGUGUGUGUGUGUGUGUGUGUGUUUUGCUUCAGGUUUUGCACUCAGAGCAUAGGACCUAGAUGGAAGUUGUCAGAGAACUCUGAUGGAGUUGAACGAUGAUAUUAUAUCAUAUUUUUUAAUCAUAUUUUUAUAAAAUUUAUAUUUGGUCACAUGUAAAAUGUAGUUUGCUGCAGCUCGUGUGUCUGUGUUUAGAGGUUGUGCAUGAACCUGCAUGACUUUGCAGUACGACCAUCUCCCCCGUGGGUCUGUAACAUUUAUCAGCUGUGUGUGUGUGUGUGUGUGUGUGCGCGCCGCUGUGCCGUUUGUGUCGAGUCGUGACGCACAAACAAACCACGAAAUGAAUAAGAUGCUUAAUGUCCCGAAGAAAAGUUAAAUCUGAAAACAAACCAAGUGUGAUCACACCUCUAAUAAUAUUCU
Non-coding RNA from Gasterosteus aculeatus aculeatus (three-spined stickleback), 3678 nucleotides. The record is from RefSeq and is a predicted model, not a curated record. Lineage: Eukaryota; Metazoa; Chordata; Actinopteri; Perciformes; Gasterosteidae.